CCCUUUGCGAUAUAAUACUUAAACAAUAAAAAGUUGAAUCAAAUAUAUGGUUAUUGAUAUUCCCUGUCAAAUUAGAUAUAUGGAUAUAACAAAUCGAUUUACAGGUAAAUACAUAGAUAUACCUUAUCGAUUUACAGGUAAAUACAUACAAUGUAGGUAUACCUUAUCGAUUUACAGGUAAAUAUAUGGAUAUACCAAAUCGAUUUACAGGUAAAUAUAUGGAUAUACCAAAUCGAUUUACAGGUAAAUAUAUGGAUAUACCAAAUCCAUUUACAGGUAAAUACAUGGAUCUACCAAAUCAAAUUAAACACAUGGAUAUAUAUGGAUGAUAGGUUAGGAAUUUGUGCCAUUUCUCUGGGAUCUCUACCACACUAUACUAUAACUAUGUAUUCUUUGGCUCAUUUGAUUUGUAUCGAUGUUCACAAUCAACUUGUGUUUUUCAUCAGGUCAAAUGAAAACUUGUUUUCAUGAUCUUGAAUUAGAUUAAUUGAAGCUUUCCUUCGGUAAUUUUUUUUCUGGGUAUGACAUUAAUAAAGGUUUUUAUGAAAAGGAAAAUAUUAUUUCAUACACAAGUCACAAGUAUAUGAGUAAAACUUACAGUAAAAUGCAACCUAAUUGCAUAAUUGUUCUAAAAUCUGCCAUAGGAAACAAUGAUUUUUUUAUUUGAUUUUCACCACAAUAUUAUUUAAUCCACAGAAUCCAUUAGAUAGACACAUUUCAUUGUUUUGUUUUUCAAAACAUGUUUUCUAUCUGUUGUCUGUUCAUCACAAAACUUACUUUUUAGGUCCAUAAGCUUAAGGUUUGUUUUUAACAUACUUAUGUUGGCUCAAACUUUGGCCCAUUAGCAAACUAUAGUGCAAUUGUGAGAAAAAGUAUGAAUAAAGUAAUUACCAAAAUUUAGUGCAAAGCUUAAUGUGUGUAAAAUAAGUUUACCACUUAAAUAUAUCUGUUUACAGUAAUUAUCUAGAUUAAUCAAAAUGAAACAUCAAACUAUUAUAUUAAUUCUUCAUUGCGCUAAUCUAUUAAGAUUUGGUAAUGUGUAAAAAUUUGAGUGAAACAAAAUUAGUGUAUUUACGCUAUGUUUGCAAAUCAUUAAAGCAAGUAAUUUAUAUUAAUGUUUUUCAUAUAUCAGAAAUAUGUUUAUAAUUAGGAGAAAGUAUCUACUUGGUAAGGGCAAAUGUUAAAACAAUUAUUUCAAAGUUUAACAUCUAGCUAUCAGCUUUCAUUCAAUGCUGGGCUAUGAGAAGCAACAUUUUGUUUUUCUCAAUUUUAAAAAUAAUUGUCAUCUCACAUACAAAAAGAAGAAGAUAAUUCUGUAGUCAUUAAAUGUGAUAACAAUAAAAUCUAAGAGAUGUAUAUUAAAGCUUUCAGAAAAUAUACAAAGGACACUUAGAUCAUUCUUGAAUGGCGUGUGGGCCUACUGACAAAGGACAAUGUAUUAUUAUAGAAGGGGCCACUGCUAGCUUGUGGUAGUAGUUAAAAUCACCCUUAAAUAUGAACACUAUCAUUUAAGAUUCAUUAAUAAAUUAACACUGUUAUUAAAAUGACCCCAAAUGAACUGUUGUUUAGUGAUUAACACAUUUAAUUAGUUAAAAUUUGGUACUCAUUUCUCCAAAGACAGUCAAUUACCACGGGCUAUUGAUGGUAAAACACCACAUAUUUAAUUGACUUUUAAUGGUUGAAUGAUUGAAGUCUUAUCAUUAAAGAAAGAUGUUGAAGAAAUAAAUUGUUUGGUUUAGAACAUAUUUCAUUUAAUUGCUCCAAAUUUUUCCAAUUCCAGUUAAUUUAUUCCUUUGGCCUUUUAUAUUUUAUUUAGCUAAACACAGGUACCAUUCUGGAGCUGACGUCGACGUAACUGCUGUAGUCUAACUUAGACAUGUCCUUUGAAAUAUAACAUAUGCAUUUAUAUCAUAAGUGACAGAAGUCAGCCCCUGGCCUCAUCAUGUAGACACGACAAAAAUGUCAGACUAAUUGAAAUACAUCUAAAUAUAAAGGAUCUCCAUCUAUAGUUGUUAAUUAUGAAGUUACAUUUGAAUAUCCUUGAGGAUAUUAUUUACAUUGCUACCUUUAAAAACUCUGGAUGAAUUUCAGGUAUGAAUUACAAUAAUGUAAGAAAUAGAGGGUUUAAAGACAAGUUAUAGUUUGUGUUAUUUAGUCUCCUGAUGUGUUUUAGUUGUACCCGCACUGGUUGUGCUGUGUUGAAUGUUAUAUAUAUAUAUUUGAUGUCAUUAUUUAUUGUUAUAUGAUAAAGGUCAAGGACGCUCAGUAUAGCAAAGGUCGAAAGUUCCGUUUGACGCAUAUAUAUCUUAACUUAUGAUUGACAUACUGAUACGCCAAACUGAUGUAGAGGAUAGAAUAUACAUCUGUAGUAUAGAUCACAGGGACUUGACUCGUUCCUAUGACCAAGAAUGAAACCCCAGAGUCCGACCUCUAGUUAACUUGAUCAUUAUUGUCAAUAAUAAGUUAUCUAGGAGUCCCUGUGAUUACAGACAUAUUUGAUUUCUGACAUUCUCAGAUAUAGAAAUCUGGUAGAAUUCAAAUUUUCAAUAGCUACAUGACAAGCCUUAUUUUGAGAACAUGACAUCAGAUCUUUUCCUGCAUUUUUUGAAAAACUAACUGUAAAUGUACUUAAUUUGAUGCACUUAAAUUUUAGAGCAAAACCAAAUAAAAAAGAUUAGUAGAUGAUGAAUUGGCAACAAUGAUUGCCAUAGACUAGAUUUUCUUGGCGGGUGUUGUCAAUGAAACAGAAGGCAAUUACAAACUUCUGGAAGACUUUGAUUUGGUCAUGUUGUUUUUCUAAGGGUUCCUUUUGAAUUUCUAUGUUUGUGUCUGAUGUCAUUGAUUUUCCAUUAUACACAAACUUGAACAGUUAUUUUUGUGACCAUUGCUCUCCUGAGUGACCUUGACCUCAUUUGUUAUCAUUGAAGAGAUUAUAUUACAUUUAAUCAAGAGUUUUUCUGUUGUGUACAAAAUGGUUUAUUAUUACAAAAUACAUGUACAUGUAUAAUAUAAGCUAAAUAUUAUACUUAUGGUUUCAGAUUUCAUUUUGAACAUUAUUUAUUAGUGCAAGUGAGUUAAGAGUUUUAUUUCUUAAUAUGCUGUGUUACACACAGAAGGUUUAACUUAUAGAACUGUAACCUACAUUUUCUAUAUGCACAUGGACUCAACACAAAUUCCCAACACAUGCUAUCUAAUGAGAAUUAGAAGUUCAUUAUCCACUCCGUUAUCUCGGUAUGAACGGAGUUUACGGAGCGGACAACAGAGUGGACAAUGAACCUCUUAUUUUGAUUAGAUUGCAACCAGUGGUCCAUUAUACUUAAUAAGAAAAAGUCAUAAAUGCAUGAAGUGGGAAAAUAGAAAACAUCCAUAACAAAGUUAAACGGCCAAUUAACUAGCCGCUUUCAUGUUAUGGUACGGGUUUAAGAUAAAGUUAUAUCUACACAUUUAGAUGUUUAUUUAUACAGUGUAUGGACCCUGGGUGGAGGAUUUGUGUCGAGCCCCUGUGGUAAUAUGUAUACAGGUUACAUUUGAAGCAAGAUAUUGAAGCAUGGGUGGUUUUGAUAUGUGAUAAUGGAACCCUGAUCAUGGCAUUGUGAUCCUAAUUGCUUACAUGUAUAUUGUACUUUGGGUAUUGGCAUGUUAAAGUUUUGCCAUCGUCAGUAUUGGCAUGUUAAAUUUUGCCAUCGUCAUUUCUUCAUACAGCUUAAAGACAUAGUGUACCAAACUCAAACUUACUGAGUAAAUAUCUGAUAAAAUGUACAAAUUGUCGUAACUAACACAACAUCUGGUUUUGAAACGUUG
Molecule: long non-coding RNA, 3801 nt
Organism: Pecten maximus
Lineage: Eukaryota; Metazoa; Mollusca; Bivalvia; Pectinida; Pectinidae
Exons: 2
Source: RefSeq, a predicted model, not a curated record